GAUGAACGCUGGCGGCAUGCCUAAUACAUGCAAGUCGAGCGAACGGACGAGAAGCUUGCUUCUCUGAUGUUAGCGGCGGACGGGUGAGUAACACGUGGAUAACCUACCUAUAAGACUGGGAUAACUUCGGGAAACCGUAGCUAAUACCGGAUAAUAUUUUGAACCGCAUGGUUCAAAAGUGAAAGACGGUCUUGCUGUCACUUAUAGAUGGAUCCGCGCUGCAUUAGAUAGUUGGUAAGGUAACGGCUUACCAAGGCAACGAUGCAUAGCCGACCUGAGAGGGUGAUCGGCCACACUGGAACUGAGACACGGUCCAGACUCCUACGGGAGGCAGCAGUAGGGAAUCUUCCGCAAUGGGCGAAAGCCUGACGGAGCAACGCCGCGUGAGUGAUGAAGGUCUUCGGAUCGUAAAACUCUGUUAUUAGGGAAGAACAUAUGUGUAAGUAACUGUGCACAUCUUGACGGUACCUAAUCAGAAAGCCACGGCUAACUACGUG
This 497-nucleotide ribosomal RNA is filed under the name uncultured bacterium. Its description in RNAcentral is "partial 16S ribosomal RNA". It matches the Rfam family "Bacterial small subunit ribosomal RNA", at positions 28 to 507 of the family's 1533-position model. The record is from RNAcentral.